Dermacentor albipictus is the source of this 483-nucleotide long non-coding RNA. RefSeq lists it as uncharacterized. Lineage: Eukaryota; Metazoa; Arthropoda; Arachnida; Ixodida; Ixodidae. The record is from RefSeq and is a predicted model, not a curated record.
AGCCGGCCCUAAAACGAUUUGUUCUGUUCCUGCAGGUGCGCAACUACGUCACAAGAGUUUCAAGUGGUUCAUCGGACGUCGGAUGCUCUUUUGCACGGAUGGCUUCGACGGUGUGGCAGCUCUGCUGAAAAACGUGGAACUUUUCCAGUUCCUCUUGACUUCGGUUCGCGUCACAUGAUGGUGCUCUGAUCAACAAGCGCCGUCAUCGUCCCCAUAAAAACGCAUCGCUUGCAAGCAGCAAGCGCAGUUGGCGGCAAGUCCAGAGCCGGCCCUAAAACGAUUUGUUCUGUUCCUGCAGGGCACCAGGUCGUUCAUGGAAAUCAUGUAGCACUGACCAACUACUGGUUUCAGCACCACCAACCUGGAUGCCUGCACCUCCCACUUGGAGCAACACGCAUCUGGUCGAGGGCGACCUCUGCCAGGGCAAGGUCUUCCUCCUGCUGUUGCACGUGCAUGGCCAGGCGUUUCCCGGCGACGUCCUUG